Molecule: transfer RNA, 70 nt
Filed under: Semisulcospira libertina
Lineage: Eukaryota; Metazoa; Mollusca; Gastropoda; Semisulcospiridae
Description: tRNA-Asn
Source: RNAcentral
UAAGUGAAAGCCAAAAAGCGGCACCUAGCUGUUAAUUAGGAUAUUGUAGUGGGAUAAAUUACUCAUUUAA